GACGAACGCUGGCGGCGUGCUUAACACAUGCAAGUCGAACGGUGAAGCGAGUGCUUGCACUCGUGGAUCAGUGGCGAACGGGUGAGUAACACGUGAGUAACCUGCCCAUCACUCUGGGAUAAGCACUGGAAACGGUGUCUAAUACUGGAUACGACCAACCCUUGCAUGGGGUGUUGGUGGAAAGAUUUAUCGGUGAUGGAUGGACUCGCGGCCUAUCAGCUUGUUGGCGGGGUAAUGGCCCACCAAGGCGACGACGGGUAGCCGGCCUGAGAGGGUAACCGGCCACACUAGGACUGAGAAACGGCACAGACUCCUACGGGAGGCAGCAGUGGGGUAUAUUGCACAAUGGGCUAAAGCCUGAUGCAGCGACGCCGCGUGAGGGAUGACGGCAUUCGGGUUGGAAACCUAUUUCAGCAGGGAAGAAGCGAAAGUGACGGUACCUGCAGAAGAAGCACCGGCUAACUACGUG
Molecule: ribosomal RNA, 469 nt
Filed under: uncultured bacterium
Lineage: Bacteria
Description: partial 16S ribosomal RNA
Rfam family: Bacterial small subunit ribosomal RNA
Source: RNAcentral